This is a non-coding RNA of Sapajus apella (tufted capuchin), 870 nucleotides long. Lineage: Eukaryota; Metazoa; Chordata; Mammalia; Primates; Cebidae. The record is from the annotation of a RefSeq genome assembly.
UGGGUCUGUGUGAGGUCUCAGCAGCUGCCUCUCUCAAUGUCUCCCCAGGGGACAGCAAGGUGAACCCUGGGGCAGGAAGAGAGGGGAAGCUGAUUUGCAUAAAGAACUUUUUUAUCCUGUUGGGUCUGGGGAGGCAUGAAAAGGCCCUGAGGAAAACAAACCCCAGCUGAGAAGCCUGAAGACACUUAGCCUUCGUGAGUGUCCCCAUCAUGGCCUGGAUGAUGCUUCUCCUCGGACUACUUGCUUAUGGCUCAGGGGUGGAUUCUCAGACUGUGGUGACCCAGGAGCCAUCGUUCUCAGUGUCCCCUGGAGGGACAGUCACACUCACCUGUGGCCUGAACUCUGGCUCAGUCUCUACCAGUUACUACCCCAGCUGGUACCAGCAGACCCCAGGCCACGCUCCACGAAUGCUCAUCUACAGCACAAACAAUCGCCCUUCUGGGGUCCCUGAUCGCUUCUCUGGCUCCAUCCUUGGGAACAAAGCUGCCCUCACCAUCACAGGGGCUCAGGCAGAUGAUGAAUCUGAUUAUUACUGUAUGCUGUACAUGGGUAGUGGCAUUUCCACAGUGAUUUAAACCUAUGAGGAAGUGCAACUAAAACCUCUUUAUAUACUAAGAACAGUUCAGCUCUUAGAGUCAGGAGGGAAAGGGAGAGGGUGGAAAUGGUCAAUGCCGUGAGUGAGGAGGCCCCUUGCCCCAAUCUCUUAUGCAGGGGUUCACUGCCAAGUGUCUCAUCCAGUUCUCUCUCCGGAUGUGUCCACUUCCCCAGUGUGACUUUUCCAUGGCUGUGCUUCCUCUCUCCCUCUCUACCUAGAAUAAUGUGGAGGAGAAUUAUCUACAAAAUAUGUAAGCUCACAUUGAGUCACAGAGA